AAGAUCAUACUUUCAGGGAUCAUUUCUAUAGUCUUUGACUUGAGAAAUAUCGUGCGAAAGUGAUCGGUUACUCUAACCACGAUGAAGAGAACUGAUGUUCCCUUCUGAGUGCGAAGUGGCAGAGUGAUGAUGCAUUUCAUCCGCUCCUUGCCAUUGAUGACCGUUCCAUGCUCUCUAGUGGAGCCUGGAGGUAGGGAUCAUGAUCAGAGUGGU
The sequence is a small nucleolar RNA, 213 nucleotides long. Its record names the gene U3. It matches the Rfam family "Small nucleolar RNA U3". From Rfam's summary of the family: Small nucleolar RNAs (snoRNAs) are involved in the processing and modification of rRNA in the nucleolus. The record is from Ensembl.